AAUAAAUACAGAGUUUUCGCGUCUAACUUUGAUUGUCCGUCUUAUUUAAAAAUUUGUUAUAAUUAGCAUUUUUAUUGUUAUAAGAUGAUAAAAUAUGAAUAGUACUUUACUCGUGACUUGUUUAAAAAAUUUUUCAAAUAAGACGAAUGGUCAAAAUUAGGCGCGGAAAACCAUUUCUACACUUAUU
Molecule: non-coding RNA, 187 nt
Organism: Oryza glumipatula
Lineage: Eukaryota; Viridiplantae; Streptophyta; Magnoliopsida; Poales; Poaceae
Source: Rfam